Non-coding RNA from Cyanistes caeruleus (blue tit), 1103 nucleotides. Lineage: Eukaryota; Metazoa; Chordata; Aves; Passeriformes; Paridae. The record is from RefSeq and is a predicted model, not a curated record.
UCGUUCUCAGCUGUGUCGACAGCUAUGUGCAGCACUGUUUCUUUACAGUGGAUAAGGACUUGUGCCGAUUCAAAGGCAGGCAGAGGCUUCCAGCCACAGGAUUCUCGGGCAUCCGUCUUUGCGGUUCUUGGAAAAUAGUUGUUCUGUUAGCAUCUUUUUCCUCCGGGGUCACCGGAGCCCGGCAGGCUCGCCUCGGGUCCCUCCUCGGUCAUCUCAUUCAGCAUUCUCUCGGUCCUCAUGAGGACUUCCUUGUCUCAGAGAGUUUUCUCUCCUUGUCAUGUCCCCUUGUCUCACGUGUCAUGGGUGCCUGGGGGUAUUUGGUCCGGAGCUGCUCUGCCCUGGCGCCCAGCCCGGUUGUAGGUGUUUAAGGACAAGUCCCGGGCACUUGUAAUUGGAGAUUUGUAAUAUGGGCUGUAGUUGGAGUCUAGCUGGUAUUCUUAUGUUGGCAGCAGGUGUCUGGAGCUGUGAAGUUACCCUGCAGCACUUUGACUUUUUUCCUAACUUUCUUUCAGAUUCAGAUAGAUUGACCUCCUGGCAGAACACCUGUCCCAGAUGAGGGGGUCCCCCUGAGAAGGAAGUAAAGCCGGAUAGCAGCGGGGAAGGCGAAGCAGGUGGAAGGUGGUCUACUUGCAAGAUAUCCCAGCCCAGGAUGCUGGAGGACAGGAGUUGGUGUUGCCCCGAGCACGGCAAGGAGCAGAGAUGAGCAGGUCUCUGAUGCCUAUUUUCUGAGGAUCUACCUUUUGAUGUUGAGAAGCAGCAGUGAGAAGAUAUCUCAGGGCAUUUUGUUCAGCAGAGUGUUUCAAAUAAGGGUUGCGGUCACUGUGCGAGUUAGUCUCCUGCUGCAUGUCAGAGUGUGGCUGUCUGUGAGAGUCGGUGGGUCAGGGUCUGCUUGUGUGCAUGUGUGUCGAGUGGUUCUAACCUGGUAUGUAUGGCUUUUGCUUUUCAGGACUUGCAAUUCACUUUUAAAUUUAGAAUAAAAAAUCCCCAGCUGGGGGGGUUUUUUUUUUUCCCUCCCAGCUGGGGUUUUUUUUCCUCGGUCCCGGCCGGUCUGCGAGGCGACAGUCAUCGCCAAAGUUUGGGCACGGACCGGCCCCGGACCGAGG